RNAcentral lists this ribosomal RNA (520 nucleotides) under uncultured Entrophospora. Its description in RNAcentral is "SSU rRNA". It matches the Rfam family "Eukaryotic small subunit ribosomal RNA", at positions 569 to 1084 of the family's 1831-position model. Lineage: Eukaryota; Fungi; Glomeromycota; Glomeromycetes; Entrophosporales; Entrophosporaceae. The record is from RNAcentral.
AGCAGCCGCGGUAAUUCCAGCUCCAAUAGCGUAUAUUAAAGUUGUUGCAGUUAAAAAGCUCGUAGUUGAAUUUCGGGAUUGACGUGAUGGUCAUGCCUUAAGGGGUAUGAACUGUUACUGUUGAUUUCUCACCUUCUGGAGAACCGCGAUGCCCUUAAUUGGGUGUCGCGGGGAACCAGGACCUUUACUUUGAAAAAAUUAGAGUGUUUAAAGCAGGCAUUUUGCUUGAAUACAUUAGCAUGGAAUAAUAAAAUAGGACGGCAUGAUUCUAUUUUGUUGGUUUCUAGGAUCACCGUAAUGAUUAAUAGGGAUAGUUGGGGGCAUUAGUAUUCAAUUGUCAGAGGUGAAAUUCUUGGAUUUAUUGAAGACUAACUACUGCGAAAGCAUUUGCCAAGGAUGUUUUCAUUAAUCAAGAACGAAAGUUAGGGGAUCGAAGACGAUCAGAUACCGUCGUAGUCUUAACCAUAAACUAUGCCGACUAGGAAUCAGACGAUGUUAAUUUUUUAAUGACUCGUUUGGU